CAGAUGAGCCAGAGGCUCCCACUGGCAAAGCUGAGCCCAGCCAAGUGCUGUUCCAGAAGGGAACGUGCUGGAGAGCAGAUCAACAAAGCAGAGGCUGCUGAGAGCCCCAGGCAGCCCCAGCCCUUCCUGCUGUCCCACGCUGGCCUGCAGCAGAUGGCAUGAAGGAUAUGUGAGGAGUCAAAUGAUGCAGAAACGACUUCCCUGUGCCCUGGAAGGACUUUGGCAGCUUCACAGCCCUGCUGAGCCUCACCCUGUUCCUAAAUACGAGGGCACAAGUGACUCAGGCCUGGCCCUAAAGAAAAAGCAUCCACACGGCGUCACUGAUAAGAUUCCUGUCGAGGAAUUCCAAUGCUAUUAUGAAGAAGAAUCCCAAGUAUUCCAGGAAACAUGCUUAUGCUCUGAUGCAGUGUAAACACCAGGGGGUUGAGAGUUAUUUUUCAAGCAACUAAAAACUACCUACGGAGGAUUAAUAAGUUUUAUUCAACAUUUAUCCAUCUACUCAUUAAUUUAAAGGCUACCUUAAAGCUUAGAGGCCAUUGCUUUCCCUAAAGUUCUCUGCACACAAACUACACAGUCUAUUCCUGAUGGUACAGGGCAGCUCAGAGAUCCUCUUUCUACUACAACUUGUAUUUUGCUACUGUACUUGAUAUUUCCAUUACAAAUCAUGCACCCCAUGAGCAGUCUCCCUUCUGAGAGCUGCUCAGCCUAAUUCUCAGUGUGAGUGCAGAGCCUAAUUCUCAGUGUAAGUGAUGCUGACACGUGGGUUUCCCAAAGCCUCAGAUUAAUUGAAUUACCCUGAAAAUGUACAUGCAGCACCUCAGAGGUGGAUUUUACACCAGUGUUGGACAAGUCUGUCUGCUCAGAUCACACACACACACAGAGAGAAGGUGAUGAAAUCGAGGUGUGGCUGCCACUGUCCACCACCUGCCCAACUGCCAUCCCUAUUCCCAAUCCCCUAUCCCCAAACCUGCGCCUCGGCCACCACGAAGUUAAUUCGCUUUUCAAGCUCUGUGAACGGAAUUUUAUGAUUACAAACAGCUUAUCUGGGGACUCCAGAAUUUGAUUCCGGAGCGCUGAGGUAGUCGAUG
RNAcentral lists this long non-coding RNA (1088 nucleotides) under Chloebia gouldiae (Gouldian finch). Its description in RNAcentral is "Erythrura gouldiae (Gouldian finch) lncRNA (ENSEGOG00005008654.1)". The record is from RNAcentral. Lineage: Eukaryota; Metazoa; Chordata; Aves; Passeriformes; Passeridae.